ACCAGACUCCUACGGGAGGCAGCAGUGGGGGAUAUUGCACAAUGGGGGGAACCCUGAUGCAGCGACGCCGCGUGGGUGAAGAAGCGCCUCGGCGCGUAAAGCCCUGUCAGCAGGGAAGAAAAUGACGGUACCUGAAGAAGAAGCCCCGGCUAACUACGUGCCAGCAGCCGCGGUAAUACGUAGGGGGCAAGCGUUAUCCGGAUUUACUGGGUGUAAAGGGGGCGCAGACGGCGAUGCAAGCCAGGAGUGAAAGCCCGGGGCCCAACCCCGGGACUGCUCUUGGAACUGCGUGGCUGGAGUGGAGGAGGGGCAGGCGGAAUUCCUGGUGUAGCGGUGAAAUGCGUAGAUAUCAGGAGAAACACCGGUGGCGAAGGCGGCCUGCUGGACUGCAACUGACGUUGAGGCCCGAAAGCGUGGGGAGCAAACAGGAUUAGAUACCCUAGUACU
Molecule: ribosomal RNA, 447 nt
Filed under: uncultured bacterium
Lineage: Bacteria
Description: bacterial SSU rRNA
Rfam family: Bacterial small subunit ribosomal RNA
Source: RNAcentral